Molecule: ribosomal RNA, 494 nt
Filed under: uncultured bacterium
Lineage: Bacteria
Description: bacterial SSU rRNA
Rfam family: Bacterial small subunit ribosomal RNA
Source: RNAcentral
AUUGAACGCUGGCGGCAUGCCUUACACAUGCAAGUCGAACGGUAACGGGCCUUCGGGUGCCGACGAGUGGCGAACGGGUGAGUAAUGCAUCGGAACGUGCCCGAUCGUGGGGGAUAACGCAGCGAAAGCUGUGCUAAUACCGCAUACGAUCUACGGAUGAAAGCGGGGGAUCGCAAGACCUCGCGCGGACGGAGCGGCCGAUGGCAGAUUAGGUAGUUGGUGGGAUAAAAGCUUACCAAGCCGACGAUCUGUAGCUGGUCUGAGAGGACGACCAGCCACACUGGGACUGAGACACGGCCCAGACUCCUACGGGAGGCAGCAGUGGGGAAUUUUGGACAAUGGGCGCAAGCCUGAUCCAGCCAUGCCGCGUGCAGGAUGAAGGCCUUCGGGUUGUAAACUGCUUUUGUACGGAACGAAAGACUCUUUCUAAUAAAGAGGUCCAUGACGUACCGUAAGAAUAAGCACCGGCCUAACUACGUGCCAGCAGCCGCGGU